UCGCUGCUGGCGACCCAGCGUUCUGCUGUUGUGCCGCCUUGAUGCGCUGCGCUAGCCACGGCGAUCUCUCUUCUCUAUCUCCGCCUCUCCGGACUCCAGUGUUGCGUCAUGGCGGCAGAAGAUGGGAAACUCUCAAGGCAGAGGAAGGGAGUCGAAUAGACGUGACGUGGAAUCGGGAAUAUCCUCUGGCCCCUGGCGGCCACUAUCGAUGGAUCACGCGAGGAGUUACGCGAGGCAAG
Molecule: long non-coding RNA, 239 nt
Filed under: Brachypodium distachyon (stiff brome)
Lineage: Eukaryota; Viridiplantae; Streptophyta; Magnoliopsida; Poales; Poaceae
Description: long non-coding RNA (BDIS_LNC005303)
Source: RNAcentral